Non-coding RNA from Cinara cedri, 453 nucleotides. Lineage: Eukaryota; Metazoa; Arthropoda; Insecta; Hemiptera; Aphididae. The record is from the annotation of a GenBank genome assembly.
UAUAGGGGUCGAAAUCAGGGUCAUCAACAUUAGUGUAGUUAAAAUAAACGGGCCUAAUAAAUAAAACGGUUGACGACAUUAUAUUAUUAUUAUUAUUAUUAUUAUAACAGCCUGCAGGGACCGCGUAUGUAUAAGACUAUACCGCGGGUAUAUUGAAGGCAAUUUAGUUAUACUCAAUUUAAAAACGUAAACUGUUUUUUUUUUUUUUUUUUUUAUAUCUACAUUCGGGCCGUUCAUCCAUAAUAAUAACAUAACAAUGUAAACCUGCAAUAUUUUAUAUUUUGUGCGAGGGUCUUUUUCAUAGUACUUUCGUUUUUUUCUUGGUAAUAUUGUUGGUAAUUUCGCAUUCGAUUGGUGAAAUUGUUUAUUUCGUGAAAUGUUUGCACAUUGUGAAAUUUGCGAAAAUUUGAUAUUCGAUUUAGGUGUAUUACUUGAAAUAUAUUUUCCGUAACC